RNAcentral lists this long non-coding RNA (667 nucleotides) under Helianthus annuus (common sunflower). Its description in RNAcentral is "hypothetical non coding rna". The record is from RNAcentral. Lineage: Eukaryota; Viridiplantae; Streptophyta; Magnoliopsida; Asterales; Asteraceae.
UGUCUAGAUCGUUGACCCACUACUACCAGAUCCCUCAAUGGCGACUUCUUGACAUUUGUAGAAAUUCGAUUUGGUCUUGUGGAAGGAUUGUAAUUUGGGAGGUUAUAGUUGCAUCUGCACGUCAUUUUAGUAUAUCACAAUUCACAAUUUUUAGUUGUCUUUUUUUUUAAUUGUUUAUUAUAAGAUGAUGGAUAAUAUCAUUAUUAUUAUUUAUAUGCACAGGUGGUUGUUUCUGAAAUAAUAGUUCUAGUUGUUGCUCUUGAUCUGAGGAGGUAUGAAGUUAAAUAAACUUAUUUUAUAUAUUAUUUUUGUUGUUACUUCCUGCAUCAAGAGAUUUUAACAGGGGAUUGCUUUUGUGGACAUUGUGGCUACAACAAGUCUAUGUGUCAAAAUUUGACGAUUCACAUAUGGUUUUGUAGAUCAUAUUCUGGUUCUACGAUCGAUGCUUGGAUGGUGUGUUAAAAUGAUUGGUUUUUUCAUGUCAACAUUUUUGGGCCAAAAGUUGGAACUCUUAGAUUUCAUCACAACAACCACAAACUUGCAACAUGGUUCAAGAUACAGCUCUAGCUUUAUUAAGAAAUGAAUUCAAGAUGUUAAAGUUUUACACAUUUAUUCCUUUAUAAUUGUAGAACUUGUUUAUACUUUAAAGAAAUAUAUACCUUUGUGU